ACAACCAAAUCAUUUUUCUGGGAACCUGGGGAUCAUCUUGGCUCUGCCUAUCACAGCCAGUGCCUGCACGCCCUGCUCCGGCAUCCCCCUAGUGCCUGAGCACGCCAUCCUCCUGUACCCUACUCCAUUACGAUGUGAUUCCUUCGUGUUAAAACUGUGUACCUUGCCCUACUAACUUUGGAUCUGGCCAAUGGAAUAUAAGGAGAUUUGACCUGUGCUGCUGUGAUUAACAGACAUCAGAGGCAUGGAAGAAAAACAACAGUAACUAGAUGAAGCAAGGACCACCCUUCUGGACAACAAAGGGAGAGGAAUGAAAGUCUGACCUAGGAAAAGACGGAGUCUCGCUGUGUUGUCCAGGAUGGAGUGCAGUGGUGCUUUCUCAGCUCACUGCAACCUCUGCCUCCCAGUUCAAGCAAUUCUUCUGACUCAGCCUCCUGAGUAGCUGGGAUUACAGGCACCUGCUACCACACCAUGCUAAUUUUUGUAUUUUUAGUAGAGACGGGGUUUCUCCAUGUUGGCCUGGCUGGUCUCGAACUCCUGACCUCAGGUGAUCCACCUGCCUCGGCCUCUCAAAAUGCUAGGAUUACAGGUGUGAGCCACCACACCUGGCCAACUUAUCCUUUUUUUAACAUCUAGUUUUCUGUGAGUGUUUUCUAAUGUGCACUGUAGACGGACAUAGUGGUAUGUGAUUACUAUUCAUAGAUAAAUAAUAAUUUGUUUAUUAUUGUGUAAUAAACAUUGUGUGAUAAAGAAUUUGGCUGACCUUUGUU
RNAcentral lists this long non-coding RNA (770 nucleotides) under Homo sapiens (human). RNAcentral's name for it is "HSALNT0326780". Lineage: Eukaryota; Metazoa; Chordata; Mammalia; Primates; Hominidae. The record is from RNAcentral.